GUGGACUAUGAUUACAAAAAGACUGCUUGAUAUACAAUAUGUCUACUCAGAUACGCUACCAUUACUGACAAUAAUUCCUCAAUUCAUUUACCUUCCAUCAUGCUACAAACUGUUUAUUCUAACCAAUGCUGUAAAUACUCUUAUUUUUCUGAUGUUCUCCAUUACACGUGGCAUCUAUUGCACUUCUGUCCAUCCUGGGGGAGAGAUCCCUCACAUGUGGCU
RNAcentral lists this unclassified non-coding RNA (222 nucleotides) under Hevea brasiliensis (rubber tree). Lineage: Eukaryota; Viridiplantae; Streptophyta; Magnoliopsida; Malpighiales; Euphorbiaceae. The record is from RNAcentral.